Molecule: ribosomal RNA, 1407 nt
Filed under: uncultured Rhizaria
Lineage: Eukaryota
Description: SSU rRNA
Rfam family: Eukaryotic small subunit ribosomal RNA
Source: RNAcentral
CGGAGAGGGCGCAUGAGAAACGGCUACCACUUCUAAGGAAGGCAGCAGGCGCGCAAAUUACCCAAUCCUGACUCAGGGAGGUAGUGACAAGAAAUAACAAUAAACCGGCUUAUGCCGGUUUAAUUGGAAUGAGUACAAUUUAAACAUCUUAACGAGGAACAAUUGGAGGGCAAGUCUGGUGCCAGCAGCCGCGGUAAUUCCAGCUCCAAUAGCGUAUACUAAAGUUGUUGCAGUUAAAAAGCUCGUAGUUGGAUUUCUGUGGGGGCGGAGCGGCCGGCCGCAACUCGCGGUUCGAGCUAGCGCUUCCCCUACAUCCUGCCGCGAACCGUGCUACCAUUAGUUUGGUGGCGCCGGGGAUCGGCUCGUUUACUUUGAGAAAAAUAGAGUGUACAAAGCAGGCCACACGCCUUGAAUAAGUUAGCAUGGAAUAAUAAUAAAGGACUUCGGUUCUAUUUUGUUGGUGUUCGGGACUGAAGUAAUGAUUGAUAGGGACAGUUGGGGCGGUCAGUAUUCCAAAGCGAGAGGUGAAAUUCUUAGACCUUCGGAAGACUAACAGCUGCGAAAGCGUUCCGCAAGGAUGUUCCCUUUGAUCAAGAACGAAAGUUGGGGGAUCGAAGACGAUCAGAUACCGUCGUAGUCUCAACUAUAAACUAUACCAGCUAGGGAUCGGCCAACGUUAAAUUAUCCGACUUGGUCGGCACCUUAUGAGAAAUCAAAGCAUCUGGGUUCCGGGGGGAGUAAGGUCGCAAGGCUGAAACUUAAAGGAAUUGACGGAAGGGCACCACCAGCCGUGGAGCCUGUGGCUUAAUUUGACUCAACACGGGAAAACUUACCAGGUCCAGACAUAGUAAGGAUUGACAGAUUGAUAGCUCUUUCUUGAUUCUGUGGGUGGUGGUGCAUGGCCGUUCUUAGUUGGUGGAGUGAUUUGUCUGGUUAAUUCCGUUAACGAACGAGACCCCAGCCUGCUAAAUAGCGCGGUUGAGCUUUGCUCGGCGCGAGCUUCUUAGAGGGACUAUGAUGCGCGACAGCACAUGGAAGUUUGGGGCAAUAACAGGUCUGUGAUGCCCUUAGAUGUUCUGGGCCGCACACGGGCUACACUGGCGCCUGCAACGAGCAUAUCAGCUGGCCCGAGAGGGUCUUGGCUAAUCUUUUGAACCGGCGCCGUGCUUGGGAUUGACCAUUGCAAUUGUUGGUCAUGCAACGAGGAAUGCCUUGUAAACGCGAGUCAUCAACCCGCAUUGAAUACGUCCCUGCCCUCUGUACACACCGCCCGUCGCUCCUACCGAUGAAUGUUCCGAUGAAAUUUUCGGAGAGCGCUUGUGAAGUUGGCUCUGCCUUCCGAGCGAGAGGCUCAAAGUCACUUAAAUCUGAACAUUUCGAGGAAGGAGAAGUCGUAACAAGGUAACC